This 348-nucleotide unclassified non-coding RNA is filed under the name soil metagenome. RNAcentral describes it as "partial contains 5.8S ribosomal RNA, internal transcribed spacer 2, and large subunit ribosomal RNA". The stretch from base 1 to 120 matches the Rfam family "5.8S ribosomal RNA", at positions 35 to 154 of the family's 154-position model. The record is from RNAcentral.
GAUGAAGAACGCAGCAAAAUGCGAUAAGUAAUGUGAAUUGCAGAAUUCAGUGAAUCAUCGAAUCUUUGAACGCACAUUGCGCCCGCUGGUAUUCCGGCGGGCAUGCCUGUUCGAGCGUCAUUUCAACCCUCAAGCCCCCGGGUUUGGUGUUGGGGAUCGGCUCUGCCCUUCUGGGCGGUGCCGCCCCCGAAAUACAUUGGCGGUCUCGCUGCAGCCUCCAUUGCGUAGUAGCUAACACCUCGCAACUGGAACGCGGCGCGGCCAUGCCGUAAAACCCCAACUUCUGUAUGUUGACCUCGGAUCAGGUAGGAAUACCCGCUGAACUUAAGCAUAUCAAUAAGCGGAGGA